Long non-coding RNA from Apus apus (common swift), 2944 nucleotides. RefSeq lists it as uncharacterized. The transcript is spliced from 9 exons. The record is from RefSeq and is a predicted model, not a curated record. NCBI's taxonomy places the organism in Eukaryota, Metazoa, Chordata, Aves, Apodiformes, Apodidae.
AGCGUCCGGCGAGGCCUCCCCUCGGUGGGCGGGGCCCCGCCCCUCGCCCGGCCCCCGUGGCGCGCGGCCCGAGCCGAGAGACGUGGCGGCGCGUCCCGCCGGGCCCGCGGGGCUGGGCCGGGAGUCUUCACUAACGGGCUUGACACAAGUGCGAGUGAUUGGUGGCACGUGAAGGCUGAGGAUUCGUUCUGCUGCUGGUGCCUGUUCAGCUGCUGUUUUCCGUUGCCUGAGAAAAGGCGAGGAGAGCUGCGUUCCUGCAGAGGCCACUGCAGAGAACCUUUGACAAAAAUCUGAUUUCCAAGACAUUAUGGGCAAGCGAAAAGGAAGUGGGCUUUUCUACAGGUCUAUUUUAUCUGGAUUGCAUACUGAAUUGAUGAAUGAAAAAGCUGAACAAACUAGAAAAGUGUAUGUCUGGAGAUUUGCCUCUUGACAAACUUCAACAAGAGUUAUUUCUUUGUCUAUGCACUGAGGAGAAGAACAACAUAUCAAGUGCCUUUGAGUAACUGAAGUUUUUGUCUGGAGAUAGCACGAGGUUUCUCCAUGUCGCUGUUGAAGCUAAAGCUGUGAUCUCUGUCUCAGCUAUAUUUUGUCACUAAGAGAUAACUGGGAGGCUGCACAACAUUUCAGAUAAAAUGUUGGGUGUGGAAACCUAUUCUCAUCAAAUAAGUAUUAUUCUUUUAAUUUUCCUGUUACCUCAGAAAGGAAUUUCUUAGGGUUAUAGUGCACGUACUUGGCUGUGCUGCCCGUACUGGCUGGCUUGAAUGUGCUGCUUCUCACAGGCAGAACUAGAGAUGGGGACUGAUUUCUUGCAUUCCUUCACAGAGCAACAAGCUGGUGAAUCACAGUGUUAUGUGGGAACCAAUGGGAGGCGGUAAAAAGAUUAUUUUGCUGGCUGAUAAUAACAUAUUAUUGUGGGAUUUGCAGGAAAGUUCAGCCGAAGCUGUGGAACUUGCUGCAGAAAUCUCAAGGCAGACUGACCAUGACAACUUAAGCAGACACCAGAAAAGUUAAAAGGUAACUAGGUCCACAGAUGAGGCUCUGGAGGAAUGGUUCAAGAUGCAGCUUCUCCCAGCUCAGAUGCAUUACACAGACUUGCAGGCUGCUGCUGAGCAGCUGGCGCAGCAGAAGGCAGAGGCAUCGUGUGGAGCGUCGAGGCAAGAGAGAGAGAGAAGAGGAGCGGUGUCGGCCUGACCAGGGGGCAGGAGAAAGGUGCUCUGGGCAAAGGGACCUCUCUGUCACCAGGGCGAGGGUGAUAGAAGAGCACGGAGGGCCCCUUUGGGCUGCCCUGGCUGUCUCUGUGCUGGGCGACCUCCCUGUAAGCAGGGCUGGGUCUUUGCUUUUGCUGUCAUUGGCCUUUUGCCGUCUUGCUCCUUUGGCUGCCUGAAGAGCGUGGCAACCCAGUAAGGAGGGUGAGAGCCACCGCCUCCGCACCCGAGGGGGAAAGGGAGCUCGCUGGACCCCCAGGCCACCCCGUGAGCAGGGUGGGGAAGGUCCUUUCCCCAGCCCCCUCCUCUGGCCCCGGUGGGUUUGUGCCUGCUGGGGGCCUGGUCGGGGUGAGCCCCUGGAGUCAGGGCGUGUCACAGCUUUUGCCCCUUGGCCACCCCCCCUGUAGCUCCUCGGCGUGUUGAGGCCCCUCUGGCCUCCACGCAGCGUGUGGGUGGGCAAGGCAACCCGCCUGUAGCCAUGGCCCGGGUCUGUGCCUGUGGUGCUGCCUGUGGUGCUGGCGAGCUGCCAGCCCCGGUGACAGCCUCGUUCUGGGGGUGUGUGUCACCAGCCGUGGAGCCGUCUGUCCCCAGAGCAGCCCCAGCUCCCUGUCAGCAGGGCUGGGGGUGCCCCCUGCUCUCGGUGGGAGGAGCUGGGAGGGGACCCCCUGUCAUCAGGCAGGUCUCUCUGGCCCCGGCCUUUCAGAGGUGUUGGGGCAGGGUUUGUGGGGCAAGGCGUCUGCUUUCCCUGUCCUUGAGGCUGGGGCCCCAUCCCCCUGUCUCCACCUCCUGGCUCCCCGGGUGUUGCAAGCAGGGCUGAGCCGCCUCUUUGGCCGCUGCUUGGCUUGCCCAGCUGCAUUUGCCCAGGGUGCCCACCUCGGAGCCCACCUCCAGCACCGGCUGGAACUCGGCAGGCGCCCAGAGCUGCAAUAGGCAGCUGCUGCUGGAGAAGAAAGACAAGGCAUCCGAUGUGUGGGGAAGGAGCCACAAGUCAACGGCGAGCGAGAAGAGAAGCAGAGGACUGAAUGGGAGGAAGGAGAAAGGUGCUGUGGGCAAAGGGACCUGCCUGCCACCAGAGCUGUGGUCACAUAAGAGCCUUCGUUGCUUUUUGCCACCCUUUGGCCAACCAGCUUUGUCACCGGCUUUGCUACAGGAUGGCCUUGUGUCCAGGACCUGUCAGUUAUGGUGCUUGAAAGACUGGCAGAGAGCACUCCCUGCACUCCAGCAGGGCCUGAUGGACUUGGCCUCGGUUGGUCACGGUGCUGCCUGCCCGUGCCAGGUCUUGCUACUGUCUUGGCUGUCUCACAAGGCGAUCAGAUGGUGGCACGCUGGGUGCCAAGCGGUGGUGUGGGCGGGUGGGAGCAGCGGUCCCGUGCCUGUGUGAGGGGGAGAGCGGGAAGAGCGUGGGAGGGGAAGGGGAGAGCGGGAAGAAGCGGGUCUGCGAGCGCCGAGGGAUUCAGUUGCCGUCCCGGGAGGCGCCAUGGCCACAGGAGAAGUGGAGCCCUGAUCAGGUGAGAAAAGCGACGCGUUAGUCACAAUUUGUCUCUGAAUAACAUUCCACCUCCUUUCUUGACACCCCUCUUUGUUUCUUUCAGGCUACCUCUCUUUCUAAAUUUCUGUCUAAAUUCCUCUCUCGCCCCCUCUCUGUGGCCCCUCCUCUCUGUCACCCCCCUGCCACCCCUGCCUCUCUGCCCCUGCUUUCUGUGUCCCCCCAUCCAUCCCUCUCUGUCCCCCCCCGUCUC